RNAcentral lists this non-coding RNA (23 nucleotides) under Cricetulus griseus (Chinese hamster). The record is from RNAcentral. Lineage: Eukaryota; Metazoa; Chordata; Mammalia; Rodentia; Cricetidae.
UUACUAUGUAGCCUGGCUGAGAG